RNAcentral lists this ribosomal RNA (391 nucleotides) under Halorubrum xinjiangense. Its description in RNAcentral is "bacterial SSU rRNA". It matches the Rfam family "Archaeal small subunit ribosomal RNA", at positions 408 to 796 of the family's 1478-position model. The record is from RNAcentral. Lineage: Archaea; Methanobacteriati; Methanobacteriota; Halobacteria; Halobacteriales; Haloferacaceae.
UUUUCGGUACCGUAAGGUGGUACCAGAAUAAAGGGCUGGGCAAGACCGGUGCCAGCCGCCGCGGUAAUACCGGCAGCCCAAGUGAUGGCCCGAUCUUAUUGGGCCUAAAGCGUCCGUAGCUGGCCGCGCAAGUCCAUCGGGAAAUCCACCUGCUCAACAGGUGGGCGCCCGGUAGAAACUGCGUGGCUUGGGACCGGAAGGCGCGACGGGUACGUCCGGGGUAGGAGUGAAAUCCCGUAAUCCUGGACGGACCGCCGAUGGCGAAAGCACGUCGCGAGGACGGAUCCGACAGUGAGGGACGAAAGCCAGGGUCUCGAACCGGAUUAGAUACCCGGGUAGUCCUGGCCGUAAACAAUGUCUGCUAGGUGUGGCUCCCACUACGAGUGGGUGC